RNAcentral lists this ribosomal RNA (392 nucleotides) under Sphingobacteriaceae bacterium. RNAcentral's name for it is "partial 23S ribosomal RNA". It matches the Rfam family "Bacterial large subunit ribosomal RNA", at positions 2346 to 2530 of the family's 2925-position model. Lineage: Bacteria; Pseudomonadati; Bacteroidota; Sphingobacteriia; Sphingobacteriales; Sphingobacteriaceae. The record is from RNAcentral.
AAAGUGUAAAGGCAUAAACAUGCUUGACUGUUAGACUUAUAAGUCGCGCAGGUACGCAAGUAGGACUUAGUGAUCCGGUGGUUCUAAAUGGAUAGGCCAUCGCUCAAGAAAUAAAAGUUUCGAUUUAGCGUGACCAUGUGUAUACAUUACACAGUGAAUAGUUUGAAUUACGGAAAAACCUAAACAUAGGUCAUCCGUAGGUUCUAUUGUAUAAAGCAUAUGGAACUUCAGAGACUAAGUAAGCUAUGUGAUUUUAAAUCAUAAUGAUAUAGUCCAACUAGAUAUGAGAAUAUCUGAAGCAGUAAUAUACUGUGAUAAUACAAAUGACGCUAGGGAUAACAGGCUGAUACCGCACGAGAGUUCAUAUUGUCUGCGGUGUUUGGCACCUCGAU